GUCCACGCCGUAACGAUGAGUGCUAAGUGUUAGAGGUUCCGCCCUUAGUGCUGCAGCAACGCAUUAAGCACUCCGCCUGGGAGUACGGCCGCAAGGCUGAACUCAAGGAAUUGACGGGGCCCGCACAAGCGGUGGAGCAUGUGGUUUAAUUCGAAGCAACGCGAAGAACCUUACCAGGUCUUGACAUCCUCUGACCACCUUAGAGAUAGGGCUUUCCCUUCGGGGACGAGAGUGACAGGUGGUGCAUGGUUGUCGU
This 256-nucleotide ribosomal RNA is filed under the name uncultured bacterium. RNAcentral describes it as "partial 16S ribosomal RNA". It matches the Rfam family "Bacterial small subunit ribosomal RNA", at positions 793 to 1055 of the family's 1533-position model. The record is from RNAcentral.